AUGAACGCUGGCGGCGUGCCUAAUACAUGCAAGUCGAGCGAACAGACGAGGAGCUUGCUCCUCUGACGUUAGCGGCGGACGGGUGAGUAACACGUGGAUAACCUACCUAUAAGACUGGGAUAACUUCGGGAAACCGGAGCUAAUACCGGAUAAUAUAUUGAACCGCAUGGUUCAAUAGUGAAAGACGGUUUUGCUGUCACUUAUAGAUGGAUCCGCGCCGCUUUAGCUAGUUGGUAAGGUAACGGCUUACCAAGGCAACGAUGCGUAGCCGACCUGAGAGGGUGAUCGGCCACACUGGAACUGAGACACGGUCCAGACUCCUACGGGAGGCAGCAGUAGGGAAUCUUCCGCAAUGGGCGAAAGCCUGACGGAGCAACGCCGCGUGAGUGAUGAAGGUCUUCGGAUCGUAAAACUCUGUUAUUAGGGAAGAACAAAUGUGUAAGUAACUAUGCACGUCUUGACGGUACCUAAUCAGAAAGCCACGGCUAACUACGUG
Molecule: ribosomal RNA, 496 nt
Filed under: uncultured bacterium
Lineage: Bacteria
Description: partial 16S ribosomal RNA
Rfam family: Bacterial small subunit ribosomal RNA
Source: RNAcentral